GUUCAAUUGGGGAGGAAGAUUUAAAUGUUCCCAGUUCAGGCCUCCAGCAGAAACAGAAGCAAUUAGAGCUUGAAUGGUUCCUACCUCAUUGUGAAGUGUUGUGUGCAUCUCCAUGUAAUUCCUGCUAAGCUUGUGAUGCAGCUUGAACUCAGCGGAUGGGCCAGGUUACAUCAUGGGAGAGCAGAAGGACAAAACUCGUUAGUUUGGAAGCCUGUUCUGGAGACAGACACGAUGCUUGUUUGUGCACCCAAGUUUUUUUUUUUUUGCCUCCUUCCAUCACAAAGAAGAAUGGAGACAUCGUGCCAUCUGAAUGUGUUCUACUUCCCAGCAGCAUAGACUUAUCAUUAGCAGGAACAAAAAGAACGUGUAAAAGAAAAGGCCACAAAUGAACCUGAGAGAAGAUUUUAUGAUGAUCGUCAGCCAUGAUGUCGCAACUCAGGACAGCAUCAUUGCUCAGAGUAAGCUGGAGGCAUUCCUGAUUUGAAGGCAGCUGGUCAGUAAUGGACAAGAAUAGAAUUAAGCAAAAUAUCCAGUGGUUUGAAGAUGUCUUGGAACCAGGUCAUUUAAAAGGUAGAUAAUCCUAAGAGGUCUGACAACCGUAUUAACAUCCAAACCACAAAUGAUGGGUAAUAUGAAAAGCUGGAUUUUCUGACAUACACCCUUUACAUCUGCUUUCUGCAUCAG
This 684-nucleotide long non-coding RNA is filed under the name Gallus gallus (chicken). RNAcentral describes it as "lncRNA (ENSGALG00010027610.1)". The record is from RNAcentral. Lineage: Eukaryota; Metazoa; Chordata; Aves; Galliformes; Phasianidae.